UACGGAGGGUGCGAGCGUUAAUCGGAUUUACUGGGCGUAAAGGGCGCGUAGGCGGUUAUAUGAGUGUGAUGGGAAAGCCCUGGGCUUAACCUAGGAAGUGCAUCGCAAACGAUAUGACUGGAGUACUAGAGAGGGUAGCGGAAUUUCCGGUGUAGCGGUGAAAUGCGUAGAGAUCGGAAGGAACGUCAAUGGCGAAGGCAGCUGCCUGGAUAGAUACUGACGCUGAGGCGCGAGAGCGUGGGGAGCAAACAGG
Molecule: ribosomal RNA, 253 nt
Filed under: uncultured bacterium
Lineage: Bacteria
Description: partial 16S ribosomal RNA
Rfam family: Bacterial small subunit ribosomal RNA
Source: RNAcentral